This 244-nucleotide ribosomal RNA is filed under the name uncultured bacterium. RNAcentral's name for it is "partial 16S ribosomal RNA". It matches the Rfam family "Bacterial small subunit ribosomal RNA", at positions 335 to 572 of the family's 1533-position model. The record is from RNAcentral.
ACUCCUACGGGAGGCAGCAGUGGGAAUAUUGGACAAUGGGGGCAACCCUGAUCCAGCAAUGCCGCGUGUGUGAAGAAGGCCUGCGGGUUGUAAAGCACUUUCAGUUGUGAGGAAGUUUCAUUGAUUAAGAGUUGGUGAAAUUGACGUUAGCAACAGAAGAAGCACCGGCUAACUCUGUGCCAGCAGCCGCGGUAAUACAGAGGGUGCAAGCGUUAAUCGGAAUUACUGGGCGUAAAGGGCACGU